Molecule: ribosomal RNA, 253 nt
Filed under: uncultured bacterium
Lineage: Bacteria
Description: partial 16S ribosomal RNA
Rfam family: Bacterial small subunit ribosomal RNA
Source: RNAcentral
UACGUAGGGACCAAGCGUUGUUCGGAUUUACUGGGCGUAAAGGGUUCGUAGGUGGCCACUUAAGUCAGACGUGAAAUCCCUCAGCUUAACUGGGGAACUGCGUCUGAUACUGAGUGGCUUGAGUGCAGGAGAGGGAUGCGGAAUUCCAGGCGUAGCGGUGAAAUGCGUAGAUAUCUGGAGGAACACCGGUGGCGAAGGCGGCAUCCUGGACUGUAACUGACACUGAGGAACGAAAGCCAGGGGAGCAAACGGG